GACGUUAAUUAAGCAAAUCCGGUGAAGUUUACGACGCACAGGAACGCAAAGUUGUAACUAGGAUGGAUGUGCGCGUGGUCUUACUUAUGCUCUUGGAUGUCGCUUAUGUUUAUCUUUAAAUAAAGUUGUAAACUUUUAAGACAAUGUUUUAUGUGACCUAGCGAUGUAAACGCUAAACGUAUGUUUCAAAUUAUGAAAGGGGUGUGA
RNAcentral lists this long non-coding RNA (207 nucleotides) under Helianthus annuus (common sunflower). RNAcentral's name for it is "sRNA HanXRQr2_Chr17g0811021". The record is from RNAcentral. Lineage: Eukaryota; Viridiplantae; Streptophyta; Magnoliopsida; Asterales; Asteraceae.